RNAcentral lists this unclassified non-coding RNA (207 nucleotides) under uncultured Suillus. RNAcentral describes it as "sequence contains ITS1". The record is from RNAcentral. Lineage: Eukaryota; Fungi; Basidiomycota; Agaricomycetes; Boletales; Suillaceae.
UCGAAUUAUAAUCCGGCGAGGGGAAAGAGGGGAGUUGUCGCUGGCCUUUUACCGGGCAUGUGCACGCUCUCCUCCGAACCUAAGCCUUAUGGGCGCGGGGCGACCCGCGUCUUCAUAUACCUCUUCGUGUAGAAAGUCUUUGAAUGUUUAUACUAUCAUCGAGUCGCGACUUCUAGGAGACGCGGUUCUUUGAGACAAAAGUUAUUA